Molecule: ribosomal RNA, 872 nt
Filed under: uncultured Oxalobacteraceae bacterium
Lineage: Bacteria; Pseudomonadati; Pseudomonadota; Betaproteobacteria; Burkholderiales; Oxalobacteraceae
Description: bacterial SSU rRNA
Rfam family: Bacterial small subunit ribosomal RNA
Source: RNAcentral
ACAUGCAGUCGAACGGUAACAGGAAGAAGCUUGCUUCUUUGCUGACGAGUGGCGGACGGGUGAGUAAUGUCUGGGAAACUGCCUGAUGGAGGGGGAUAACUACUGGAAACGGUAGCUAAUACCGCAUAACGUCGCAAGACCAAAGAGGGGGACCUUCGGGCCUCUUGCCAUCGGAUGUGCCCAGAUGGGAUUAGCUAGUAGGUGGGGUAACGGCUCACCUAGGCGACGAUCCCUAGCUGGUCUGAGAGGAUGACCAGCCACACUGGAACUGAGACACGGUCCAGACUCCUACGGGAGGCAGCAGUGGGGAAUUUUGGACAAUGGGGGCAACCCUGAUCCAGCAAUGCCGCGUGUGUGAAGAAGGCCUUCGGGUUGUAAAGCACUUUUGUCCGGAAAGAAAACGCCGUGGUUAAUACCCGUGGCGGAUGACGGUACCGGAAGAAUAAGCACCGGCUAACUACGUGCCAGCAGCCGCGGUAAUACGUAGGGUGCAAGCGUUAAUCGGAAUUACUGGGCGUAAAGCGUGCGCAGGCGGUCCGCUAAGACAGAUGUGAAAUCCCCGGGCUUAACCUGGGAACUGCAUUUGUGACUGGCGGGCUAGAGUAUGGCAGAGGGGGGUAGAAUUCCACGUGUAGCAGUGAAAUGCGUAGAGAUGUGGAGGAAUACCGAUGGCGAAGGCAGCCCCCUGGGCCAAUACUGACGCUCAUGCACGAAAGCGUGGGGAGCAAACAGGAUUAGAUACCCUGGUAGUCCACGCCCUAAACGAUGUCAACUAGUUGUCGGGUCUUCAUUGACUUGGUAACGUAGCUAACGCGUGAAGUUGACCGCCUGGGGAGUACGGUCGCAAGAUUAAAACUCAAAGGAAUUGACGG